This 1621-nucleotide long non-coding RNA is filed under the name Equus caballus (horse). RNAcentral's name for it is "lncRNA (ENSECAG00000046555.1)". The record is from RNAcentral. Lineage: Eukaryota; Metazoa; Chordata; Mammalia; Perissodactyla; Equidae.
CUUCAUCUUUCUGGAACUGGACUAGAGUUCUCUCUUAAAAUUCCAUUCAGACUGAAAAAUUAGCCACCACCAGGACAAUUCAGGAAAAUUCUUGUUUAAAUUCAGCCAAACACCUGACUGGAGGCAAAGAAGAGGGAAAACAGAGGCAAGGAUGCAUACUAGUUUCCUAUUGCUGCCGUAACAAAUUACCGCAAACUUAGUGCCUUGGAACAAUACCAGUUUAUUCUCUCAUGGUUCAGGACAUCAGACGUGUGACGCAGCUCACCGGGCUAAACCACGCUGUCAGCUGCUGCGCUCCUUCUGGAGGCUCCAGGCCAGAAUCUGUUUCCUUGCCUUUUCCAGCUUCAAGAAGCUGCCUGCAUUCCUCAGCUGGUGGCCCCUUCCUCCGUCGUCACAGCCGGCCACAUCGUCUCUCUCUGACUCUGCUGAUGUCAUCACAAAUCUCUCUGACCAUCAGCCCCGGCUGGAAAUGAGUCUCUGCCUUUCAGGCCUCCCGUGAUUAGACCGAGCCCACCUGGAGGGAUAAUCCAGGAUAAGACCCCCAUAUCAAUGGCCAUCACCUCAGCCACAUCUGCAAAGUCCCUUUGCCAUGUAAUGUAACAUAGUCACCAGUUCUGGACAUUACUGCAUAGACGUCUUGGGCAGGGGGCAUAAUUCUGCCCAUCAUAGAAAGUGAUGAAAGAAAUUUUCCCAGAAGCAAAAGACACGAAAGUGACCUUAAAUCCAUCCAUUCAUUGAACAAUCACAUACUGAGCACCUGCUUUGUGCCAGGCCUCUGCUAUGUCCUGAGGAUAGAGCGGUAAGGGUGUCAGCAAGCACUGCCCUCCUGAAGCUUACAUUCCAGAGGAGGGAGAAAGACAAUUUGCAAGAGAACUAACAGAAAGGCUAGGUGACGGCAGGCAUGAUGAGGCCCAGAAGGAAAUGUUAAAGUGGCAUGGGAGAAGGGGAGGAAUACUCGGAGAGAAGGUAGAAAGGCCUCUCAGAGGAGAAAACACGAAGGAUGGGAAAGGAGAAGCUAUUCGAGGGAGGAGAGCUCUGGUCAGAAGAAAAAGCCAGUGCAAAGGCCCUGAGCUGAAUGGACUGAUGGAUUUGAUUAAGGAGGGGUCACCCAGCCGAGCAGUGGGCGACACAGUAGAUGGGAACGCAGGCUUGGAGCAGACGGCCCACAGCUGGAUCCUAGGACCCCCACCUGGCUGCUGCGGAACCUGAGUGGUCCAUCCAUCUGGACAGCGGAGAGAAUGAGAAUGCCUGUCUGCUAGAUGCACCGUGCGCAGAGACCAGCACCGCACAGGAAACAGUGCACAGAUCUCAAAGGUGCUAUGGAGUGACCUCUCAGAUAUUUCCAGAAACAAGCACCCCACCAUCUGGAGAGGCUGCACAGUGCUGGCCCCCUUGGAAAGUGACAAGCACAUUAGCAUAUUAAAUGGCUCUGAGAAGUCCUGCCCCAGAACCUGUGUUAUCUUUGCUCACACUGGGGCUUCCCACAUCUAUUUGACCACACAACCUUUUUUUUCUCUUUCCCCAUCACACACUUUAAUGAUGGCCUGAGGAUCUAGUUACUUAUCUAAGGUAACUCUGCCCCAGGGCAAAACAAAUAAUUUCACCAGCAAAGCUAUGCAAG